RNAcentral lists this ribosomal RNA (914 nucleotides) under Janthinobacterium sp. RNAcentral describes it as "bacterial SSU rRNA". It matches the Rfam family "Bacterial small subunit ribosomal RNA", at positions 73 to 984 of the family's 1533-position model. The record is from RNAcentral. Lineage: Bacteria; Pseudomonadati; Pseudomonadota; Betaproteobacteria; Burkholderiales; Oxalobacteraceae.
ACGGAGCUUGCUCUGGUGGCGAGUGGCGAACGGGUGAGUAAUAUAUCGGAACGUACCCUAGAGUGGGGGAUAACGUAGCGAAAGUUACGCUAAUACCGCAUACGAUCUAAGGAUGAAAGUGGGGGAUCGCAAGACCUCAUGCUCGUGGAGCGGCCGAUAUCUGAUUAGCUAGUUGGUAGGGUAAAAGCCUACCAAGGCAUCGAUCAGUAGCUGGUCUGAGAGGACGACCAGCCACACUGGAACUGAGACACGGUCCAGACUCCUACGGGAGGCAGCAGUGGGGAAUUUUGGACAAUGGGCGAAAGCCUGAUCCAGCAAUGCCGCGUGAGUGAAGAAGGCCUUCGGGUUGUAAAGCUCUUUUGUCAGGGAAGAAACGGUGAAAGCUAAUAUCUUUUGCUAAUGACGGUACCUGAAGAAUAAGCACCGGCUAACUACGUGCCAGCAGCCGCGGUAAUACGUAGGGUGCAAGCGUUAAUCGGAAUUACUGGGCGUAAAGCGUGCGCAGGCGGUUUUGUAAGUCUGAUGUGAAAUCCCCGGGCUCAACCUGGGAAUUGCAUUGGAGACUGCAAGGCUAGAAUCUGGCAGAGGGGGGUAGAAUUCCACGUGUAGCAGUGAAAUGCGUAGAUAUGUGGAGGAACACCGAUGGCGAAGGCAGCCCCCUGGGUCAAGAUUGACGCUCAUGCACGAAAGCGUGGGGAGCAAACAGGAUUAGAUACCCUGGUAGUCCACGCCCUAAACGAUGUCUACUAGUUGUCGGGUCUUAAUUGACUUGGUAACGCAGCUAACGCGUGAAGUAGACCGCCUGGGGAGUACGGUCGCAAGAUUAAAACUCAAAGGAAUUGACGGGGACCCGCACAAGCGGUGGAUGAUGUGGAUUAAUUCGAUGCAACGCGAAAAACCUUACCUACCCUUGA